Molecule: ribosomal RNA, 238 nt
Filed under: uncultured bacterium
Lineage: Bacteria
Description: partial 16S ribosomal RNA
Rfam family: Bacterial small subunit ribosomal RNA
Source: RNAcentral
UGGGUAACCUGCCUCAAAGAGGGGAAUAGCCUCCCGAAAGGGAGAUUAAUACCGCAUAAUAUGUUUAAGUCGCAUGACUUUAACAUCAAAGGAUUUUCUUUUAGAAAUUCCACUUUGAGAUGGACCCGCGGCGCAUUAGCUAGUUGGUGAGGUAACGGCUCACCAAGGCAACGAUGCGUAGCCGACCUGAGAGGGUGAUCGGCCACAUUGGAACUGAGACACGGUCCAGCUCCGUAGG